RNAcentral lists this ribosomal RNA (497 nucleotides) under uncultured bacterium. Its description in RNAcentral is "partial 16S ribosomal RNA". It matches the Rfam family "Bacterial small subunit ribosomal RNA", at positions 28 to 507 of the family's 1533-position model. The record is from RNAcentral.
GAUGAACGCUGGCGGCGUGCCUAAUACAUGCAAGUCGAGCGAACAGACGAGGAGCUUGCUCCUCUGACGUUAGCGGCGGACGGGUGAGUAACACGUGGAUAACCUACCUAUAAGACUGGGAUAACUUCGGGAAACCGGAGCUAAUACCGGAUAAUAUAUUGAACCGCAUGGUUCAAUAGUGAAAGACGGUUUUGCUGUCACUUAUAGAUGGAUCAGCGCCGCAUUAGCUAGUUGGUAAGGUAACGGCUUACCAAGGCAACGAUGCUUAGCCGACCUGAGAGGGUGAUUGGCCACACGGGAACUGAGACACGGCACAGACUCCUACGGGGGGCCGCAGUAGGGAAUCUUCCGCAAUGGGCGAAAGCCUGACGGAGCAACGCCGCGUGAGUGAUGAAGGUCUUCGGAUCGUAAAACUCUGUUAUUAGGGAAGAACAAAUGUGUAAGUAACUAUGCACGUCUUGACGGUACCUAAUCAGAAAGCCACGGCUAACUACGUG